Molecule: non-coding RNA, 124 nt
Filed under: uncultured eukaryote
Lineage: Eukaryota
Source: RNAcentral
AAGAGUAAAGCAUUAACGAUCAACUCAAUAACCCAGAUAAGAAAUGCGUGAUUUUAAUUUCUCUCACGUUUUUUUCUUCUUCUAUUUUGUUGUCACUUACUUGGUUGAAUUUCGAAAUUAACCG